This is a long non-coding RNA of Canis lupus familiaris (dog), 1293 nucleotides long. RefSeq lists it as uncharacterized. The record is from RefSeq and is a predicted model, not a curated record. NCBI's taxonomy places the organism in Eukaryota, Metazoa, Chordata, Mammalia, Carnivora, Canidae. The transcript is spliced from 4 exons.
UGAAGAAGGGAAGAAAUGUGAAGACCUGGUUUGGGAGAAAUGGACUGUGGUCACCACGGUUGCAGAGAAGGUUACAGAGAAAAUGAACCCCCAUGGCAACUGACAUAGAAUGUGGGAGGGGCCAAAUUUCAUGAGUUCUUGCAACCAGUGGGGCUUACAACCUGGAGUAGGCUUGGCUCAGGGAGAGCCCAGGGUGUUGGGGCUGCUCUUGUAGAGAAGACCAGGCAAACAGUCUGCAGACCUACAGUGUGGAAACAGUGAUCUGUUAUUUGCACAUCUCAGAGUGUGUCUCAGGGAGGCAGCAUUCACAGAGACUCCUCCAAGAACAAAGGAAUUGACAGGAAAGGCCAUGUGAGAACACAGUGAGAUGUCAGCUGACUGCAAGCCAGGAAGAGAGACCUCACAAGAAACCCACUAUACUGGCACCUUGAUCUUGAACCUCUUAUUAUGGCAGUCUGAUCAUACUAAUACGGAGACUUUGAGCCAUAACCAUACAGUCAAGCUCUCCCCAAAUUCCUGACCCACAAAAAAACUGAAAGACAUGGGACAGCAGGACUAUUCUUACUACAACGUAUCCUCAAAACCAACAUUAAAUACAACUGGACAACAAAAGUCAUUAAUAUUGAUUGAGUCUGAAUGAAAAGGUGUGCAAUUGGCUCAAAAGAUUUAUGAGAGAUACAUAAGAGAGAGAGGCAGAGACAGGCAGAGAGAGAAGCAGGCUCCGUGCAUGAAGCCAGAUGUGGGACUUGAUCUCAGGACUCCAGGAUCACACCCUGAGCUAAAGGCAGAUGCUUAACUGCUAGCCACCCAGGCAUCCCCUGAACAGUUUUCCAAAGUGGUUACACAAUUUUAUACUGAGACCAGCAACAUACGUUCCAAUUGUUCCUAUGCUUGCCAAGACUUCAUAUUAUCAGUCUUUUAAAUUUUAACCAUGAAGUAGAUACGUAGUAGUAUUUCAUUGUGGAUUAUUCUCAUUUUAAAAAUGAAAAACUCAAUUCAGAGCAACUACAUCGCUUAUCUAUGAUUACAUUUAUGGUAUUAGCUAUGACCCCUAAUCUUAGUGUCUUGAUUCUAUAUUCAUUGUUGUACUUUUUCUGUUACACUAUGCUAGUGUUCUUCCUUCCUUCCUCUUUUUUCUUUGCUCUUUUCUUAUUUCAGUAAUUUUGGUUAUGAAAAAUUUCAAACAGAGAAAAGCACAGAGGAAUAUAUAUAAUUUGGAUUUAACAAUUGUUUACACUUCACCAUAUUUAUGUAUAUUUUACUAAAAACUUAAAAUUACAUACUUCAUGACAU